RNAcentral lists this long non-coding RNA (2457 nucleotides) under Pan troglodytes (chimpanzee). RNAcentral's name for it is "long non-coding RNA NONPTRT008581". The record is from RNAcentral. Lineage: Eukaryota; Metazoa; Chordata; Mammalia; Primates; Hominidae.
UAAAGGGCUUUGUAGUUAAUGGAUCUGACUAUAUCACUCCUCUGAUUAAACCCUUCCAUGGCUUCCUGCCUGGAGAAAAGAAAUGAGUGUAUUAGCCCAGUGUUCUUUGUGCUGACCUCAUAGAACUCUUGCGGUUCCCUAAAUCCACCAGACUUUCUCCUCUGUGCCUUUAAUGGUCCCUCAUGCUGGAUGGCACUUCCUGGACUAACUCCUCUAAGUCUUUUAAUACCCAGCUUCAGUAUCACCCUUCUCUGAAAGGCUUCCCUGACAACCCCAUCCCCAUUCUGCUUUAAGUCCCCUGCCCUGUAUUCUCUGAAAACCAGCUGAGCACUUACCAUCCUCUACCAUAACAGGUUAUGAAAGGGUCUGACCCCUGACCCUUACCAGAAGGUAAGCUCUUUAAUGGGGACCUUCCACUGCUCAUCCAUCCACUGCCACAGAGGCGGCCACGAGAAAGAUUCACAGGACAGAGUAAUUCCCAUUCAUGGUAUGCUUGUUCACAGGCAGGAGUGCCUCAGGCACUCUGUUACACUCGACAACCUCCUGUAAGGUAGGCACGUUUCUGCUUUCUUACAGCUAAGUGAGCAGCAGACUGAGGAUUUGAACCCCUCUGACUAUAUAUAUAUAUAUAUAUAUAUAUAUAUUUUUUUUUUUUUUUUUUUUUUUUUUGGAGACUGAGCCUUGCCCUGUUGCCCAGGCUGAAGUGCUGCGCGAUCUCAGCUCAAUGCAACCUCUCCCUCCUGGGUUCAAGUGAUUCUCCUGCCUCAGCCUCCCGAGUAGCUGGGACUGCAGGUGCCCUCCACCACGCCCAGCUAAUUUUUGUAUUUUUAGUAGAGACAGAGUUUCAGCAUGUUGGCCAGGCUGGUCUCGAACUCCUGACCUCAAGUGACCGGCCUGCCUCGCCCUCCCAAAGUGCUGGGAUUACAGGUAUGAGCCACCACGCCUGGCCCCCAUAUUCUUAACUACCAAGCUGUAUGCUCUCUGGGAUCCUUCACAAAACAUGAAUGUCACUGCUCUGCUGUAUGCCUCCAGUCUCCCCAUCUCUCCUCUCCUCCAUCAUCAUACCUUUUCCAGCCUGUCCCUUGUGCAGUUCUUGGCUCACCAUCUGAGUAUCUAUGAGACUGCUUAAAGUCUCUCUGCCUGGAAUUAAAACUUGCAAAUGAAAGCCUUCUGAAACCACAUCUUGUUCUGAAUUGUCACCUUUGCCUCUGCUCAUCUCUCCCACAGAUAUCCAGCUCACUCUCCUCACCACACUUGUGCUCAUGUUGUUCCCUCGGCCUCAAAUGCACCAACAGACGUGUAAUAGGCACCCCUUAUGUGCCAAGCAUGAUGUCAGGAGCUGGGAAUACAGGGUGAAUCAGCUAAGCCCUGCUUCCAAGAGCGGCAUGCCGUUAAAGGGGAAAGACGCUUAUGUGCUCCCAGGACAAGGGGAUGGAAGCCAGCGAGAAGCAGAGUGAAGUCCUGAAGCUGAGCAUUGUAAUGUCUCGGUAGACCUGUGGGAAAGCUGGCUGCAGCCUCAGGAUGGAGGUCUGGAAGACAGAAGGUACACAAGGGGCCCCUCUCCAUCCACUCACCAGGGCCUGUUGCUUCUGGGCUUCCUCCUGCCAGAGGCUCCAGAUCUUCACCGCCAUCUGGGUGGGAGGUCAGGUUGGGUCUUGGGGGGUCUGCAGGGAGAGAAAAGCAUUGUCACCCAACCAGGACAUGGAGGACCAUCCAGACACUCAGUGAGAACCUCCUGGCUCUCCUGACUUUUCUAUGCUUUAUCCUGCACGUGGCUCCUGUGUGUGGAUGAGGUGCUGCACUGGGCAACUCUGGGGAUGCCUGUCCUGUAGGGUUCCCAGUCCAGUGAUGGAGAGGGAGCCAAACAAUCACAAUCCAGGGUGAUCAAAGCUGUGACAGCUGGGGCUGGGGACACAAAGGACUUGUGACAGCUCUUUAAUGGGCAGGAUCUGCCAGGUGGAGAGGCACGUACUUCCUCAGCCAUUCAUGAUUUAUUCACUGACCCAUGGGCCACACAUUGCCUGAGGCCUCCAUGGGCCAGGGACAGAAAAUGUCAGGGUCCCAGAGCCCAAGCAGUCCUGAGCCGUACCCUCCACAAGCUUCCCCAAGGAAGGGAACAGAGUCACCAUCCAGGAGGGAUACAGGCCACAGCGGAGAAAACGCCACUGCUGUCUUUGAAGACUGAGAAGCCAUGAGUCAAGCAAUACAGGUGACCUCCAGAAGCUGGCAACGGGCCAGGAAAGACUAUCUAUGUGCUGGAGCCUCCAGACGGAACAUGGUGGCCCUGCCAACACCUCGCCUCCAGCCCAGCCACAUGCAUUUGGAACUCCUGGCCUCCAGGACUGUAACAUAAUAAAAGUGUGCUGGUGGAAGCCACUAUGUUUGUGGUAUGUGUAACGGCAGCAAUAGGAAACGGAUACACUACUCAUACAUUCACACAAAUGGGUGAAGGGGCAG